UCUUCCUGUCCCAGCUCCCGCCCUUAGCCUAUAAAAGGUGUGAUUAUUUUCUGAAUAAACCGGAAGCUUGAUCGGAUUAUUUCAUCUUGCUUUUGUCUCUCUUUUGUCUCCCCCAUGUCUUUUAUUUAAUCCCCGUUUCCCCUCCAGGAGUUCUGAACUUGUUGAUCUGCAGGCCGGAUCAAGUGGCACCCAGUGUGGGGGCUCCUGGCAUGGAGAAGUUAACGAGGGAGCCAUUCGAGAGACAGCCGGCUUAAACUGAAAGUGAAAGCAAAUUGAACCAGAGACCUUGGCCGAGGAAUGAGUAAACUGAAUCAAGGAUUAAAGCUUAAAGCAACAGGACAUUAAAUUAAGUGCCAAGACCUGCGCAGACGACUACCCGACGUCCUGCCCGAGUCACGGGAAAAUGAAUACUGUGUUCAAGCUGGCCAAUUAAGGGGAUAUAUUCAAAGCCAAGCUGAAAUUUUGGAGACAUCGCAAUUAAUAAAGAUGCUGUACCUGUCACUAUUAAUCAUCUAUUUGAUGGCAUUAAGAGUUUCUUGGAGAGGUAAGUGGCUAAUGGAAGCACUAUAUUCCUCAGUGGAGUAACCCACUGAUAUCCAUAGCUCACUACAGUUUUAGAGGAGGGACACAGCUGGAGUGACACACCUUGAAGGUAUCUCUGUUGUUGGGACUCUUCCCCUGUAAGCUGCUACCACAUUUCCAUGAAGUGAACAUUUUCACCACGACAUCUUUGCCUUGAAACCAGUUUUUCAUGUACUGAAUUCCUGUAGUAGAGGCUAAUUAAACCUCUCCUUCUUUAAUUCACAGGUGUUGAGGUAGUUUGUCCCAGAAUCUAACACAGAUUCUGAUAAAGGAGUAACAUUAAAAGAUCCCUGAAAAGAAUCUGUUUGGCCCCCUUGACAUCACUGUGAGUGAGUAAUGGUCUCAUCAUUCCACAUUCAAGGAAUUUCCUACACAGAACAGGAAACUAUGGAAUGUACCAAUAAAUGUUUCCUUCUUUCUGUGUUGUAGUCAGCCAUGAAUUAGAGCUCCCUAUUAAUGUUGGACAAAUUGUUAGCUAACAGAUAAAACUGGAACACUUAUCAUAGGUAUAAUAUUUUCCUUAUCCAAUAACUAAAUAUAUAAGCACAAAUUUUGCAGAAUACAGUUUUAUACGAUCCAAUGUUUUUGAAUGUUUUAUAAAAUGCAUAUACAGGAAAUUAGAAUAGCAGUAAUUAUUUUAGAAUGGCAGUAUUACUUUCUGAAAUAAUAUCUUCUAAUUAGUAGGCUACAGGUGAAUAUUUAGCACAUUUGAAAGCAAGCUGACAAUGUUUGCAAACAUUGAAUUCUUUUUUGUAAAUUUAGUUGAGCAAAUUUAAACUACAAAUUAUAACAAAUUGUGCAGAAUUUUAUUUUAAUAUUAGUGAAAAUAUUUAUAGAACAUUUUGUUAAAAAGAAAUUUACAAGCUACCAAUGGCUCAAAAUUUUACUGUUGAAAAGAAAAUAAAAGAUGAGCUGAUUAAAAAACAAACAUUUGAAAAUUUAGAGUGAAAUCACUCCAUUAUAUAAGCGAAGGCACAGUUUAUGUGAUUUCUUAAUAAAAUAGAAAAACAUAGCUGAAGAUUCUAUUUCACAUUCACUUUUAAGCAUAUAAAUUUGGGAAAACACACUCAAUGGUCUCUAUUAUCCUAAUAUUGAAAUAAAUAUAAUGUUAUACAUCAAUUAUGCUCCUGUCAAAAUCUUGUCAAUAAAAUAUAAACUUAGGUAUAUAAAAAUAUAAUGCAUGACCUUAUUUAACUGUAUCAAAAUCUAGCAUAUAUUUGUCCACUGAAAUUUUGCAUUUCUUUUACUAAGACUUACUAACCUUAGCCACGACUUCUUUUGGUAAUCAGAUACCUGAUGUGUGUCCUGAAAUACAACCCGAGUUUCUCAUCACCUAAUUAUUUUUUAUAAAGAAUUUUAUUUAAAGAGAAAAAAGCAAAACAGAAAAAAGGGUAGAAUACAGAAUUUCAAAAAAACAGUAAGAAGUCACUAGUUGAUAGAUUACAUAUUGUCAUCUUAGAAGUCGCUAUUCAAGUUACAAAAUUAAAGCAUAAAAGUGGACAUUUAAACAGUGAGACUGCAAACAGUUCUGUUCAAUGAUCCAACAAAAACUUAGUAAUAUGGUUAUCUGUUUUACACACUUAAAAAUACAUGUGGUUAUAUCCUUUAGAGCACUUUCUUUUCCUCUCUUUUUUAUAAUAACAAUUACACCUUUUAGGUCUUAUUACUCCUACAGUUCUUAUUACUUUGUUUGAAGAGAAUAAAACCAAAUGUGACAAAGCAAAAUGGAGUCAGUUAAAACAAGAAUAGACAUAUUAUAUGAUAUAAAAACAAAAUACAAGAUGAUCAUCAAUGGCUACUAUAAUGCAUCUUGCUAUCUUCAAAAUAAUUGCCCAUGUUUUAAAGAGGGUAAGAUUAAACAUACCAAAACAAAACAAAACAUAUCAUAAGGAAAAAAUUUUAAGAAGUGCUAAUUUCAAAGAAAGUACACAGGAGAUCUUCACUGUCUUAUUGUCUCUAGUUUUCUCCCAAAUAGUUGUUCCCAUCUUCACACACAGUGAAUACAUACUGAACAUUAUAGAACUAAUCUGAUCAUAACAGGAUGAUGAAUGCUUUUUAGGCCUUCAAGACCUGAUAUUGGGGAAGUCAAUAGUGACUGCCAUAAUGUCCCUCAUUC
This is a long non-coding RNA of Cavia porcellus (domestic guinea pig), 2698 nucleotides long. RefSeq lists it as uncharacterized. The transcript has 3 exons. The record is from RefSeq and is a predicted model, not a curated record. NCBI's taxonomy places the organism in Eukaryota, Metazoa, Chordata, Mammalia, Rodentia, Caviidae.